AGAUGUGUGGGCCAGUGGUAGAGUACUUGUCUUUCAUGCACAAGGCCCUGGGUUCAACCCUCAGCAUAGCCA
This 72-nucleotide transfer RNA is filed under the name Mus musculus (house mouse). Its description in RNAcentral is "tRNA-Glu". Lineage: Eukaryota; Metazoa; Chordata; Mammalia; Rodentia; Muridae. The record is from RNAcentral.